CGGGGAGAGGGUGGCUAGCUGUGGCGGCGGCCAAUUACGUGGCGGACCUGCGGGGCUAAGCUGGCACGUCACUUCCGACUAGUGGAGUUUUUAGCCUUUUAACAUUCAAGGAUUAGGUAAAAGUCUUGCAGUGAAAAACCCGAGGACCCUUACCGCAAGUGUCCUUUGCUCCCAGCUACUGAUACUGGAUUCCACUUGUGAUUCUCCCUUUCUUAGCGCAUUCAUGAUAUAGACAUCAGUCUCUGAGCUGGAGGAGGACAAAGGCAGCAGUCCUGUGAAUUCUAUGCUCUAGCUUGGGUUAAGGGAUUUGGAAUUGCACUUGUUCCAGAGAGCUCCCUCUUUGCCCACUAGCAGGGCAUUAGCUGGUGCUGAAGACAGUGGCUGCUUGGCGAGCCUGGAUCUCCAAGUGACUCCAAGUGACCCCCUCAGCAACUCCUGAUGAACAGGACUGAAGCCAAUAUUAAAGCAAGUCAACCAAAGAUUCUCUGGUGUAGACAAGACAGCAAAAGGACAGACUACCUUGUGGAACCUAGCAUUGUUCUCCUUCUGCAGCACUAAGUAACAUUUGUGCUCCGUUAAGAUCUUUGCAAACCACACACAAGAAUUGCUGGUCAUCCUGCCAAUAGAUGCUGCUCACAGAACCAAAUUUCCUGUGCUGAAUUGUCACUCAUGGGCUUGAGAGUAGGAGACUGGAGACCAAGGUGGCUAGAAUCCAGUUGGGCCUGAUGUCUCCCUGUUGAAAGGGCUCCUUGUGGAAUAAACAGCACAUGGCUCCCGUGGUGGAUCUGAUAGUGGCACAGCACCAAGUGAUGCAGGCCUGCCAGGGGCCACAGACACAGAAGAUGCUCUCAGGGUCCCCCGUGUACUCCAGACACACUGCAGGCCACCUCUCCCAGCAGGUUGCCAGUCAUGGGCCCCAUCAUCAUGACUUCUGUCCAAGGUACUGUGUGCAGAAAUGUGAUUGAGAUUCAAGUCAGGGCCUCUCUGCCCUUUUCCCUCCAGAAACAAAACCAAGAUAAUUUAUCCUGAACACGGUGAAAAAAGGAAGGGAGGGAGGAGAAAAAGUCCGGGUCUCACCUGGGAUUCUCUGUCUCCUGCAACAUGAAGGAUUUAGCUUGGGAGGAGGUGGUGAGAACUCUGGGAGAGAAAAAAGAAGGAAAGAAUAGUUUUACCCAUGCUGAAGUUAAUUUAAACCUUCACCUAGAUAAGCAAAAAAACCCCCACACUUUUCCAUUUUGUGCCUCCCUUCCUAGAGUUUUAGCCAAAGGUUUAGCUAAGUAAUUGGUUUUACCAGGGCACUCACUCUUCCUAUCCCGAGUCUGUUUGACUCCCUCCCCAUCAUCCUCCUCACCUCUUUUCAGGCAGGGUGGGGAUAGCAGCAGGAGGAGAUUUUGGGAGCCUGGCAACUCCUGCAAGGACCGCAGGACAGCCCCUCUGUGGGGAUGCGUGGUGCCCCAUCUGCCGCCCUUCUGAAGAAUGCACUGCCUUCACUUUUUACUGUGUUAGAGUCCAUCCAGACUGUUCUAUCCAAAAAAGAGUUUCUUUUUCCCCCACAGGCAAUCAGGAAAUGAUUCCUUUCCCAACUGCUUCUGUCUAGUGCCUGGGAAUCUUGAGUCAAUCCCUCAGUAAGUCAGUGACUAUAGAAAUCCCUCUCUGAGCCUCCCAGUUCAUGUUGCUUAGGGAACCUGAUAUUUUCAUGAAACCUGCCUACACAUGGGCAGCCCAACAGCAGAACAAAUGGUGGUGACCAAAGUGAACAAAGAAGUAUAGUUGUGCCAGCUUCGUAGUUGCCCAUGUGGACAAGUUAGCAGGAUCAGGACACGAGGAAGAGUAAAUGUGAGACAGUCAAUGUGACUUCUGCGAUAAACAGAUUUUUAAACCCCGAAAUUUUGCAAAAUUUUGGUGAAACCUGAACUUCCUUCGUUGCAUAUACUGGCACUAUCUGUACCAUCAUACAACUGUCUCACAUUAAAGCUAUUUUUCUUGGGCACUGAUGAGCAAGGUUGGUAUGUUUGAGUUCCUCAGAUCAACAAAAACCCAUUUUCCUAUAAGUCUUACAUUUAGUAUUUAAGGAACUAAAACUUAAAUACAUUUUGUGAAAUGGUUGACACUUCACUGAUAAUGAUUUAUUGCUUGGAUUAAUAAAUUUUCCAAAAGUUGUCUUAUUAUGUAGAAUAUGGUUUGCAACCAGCAGAACCAUUAAUCUAUACUGCAAUGAUAUGCACUAUGUAUAAUUGUUUAAAAGCCUCUACUUAAUGAUGUAAAAUGCUCUAUUUAAUUACACAUUUGGGUAAACUGUAUACUAACAUCUGAUGGCAUUUUCCCACUGUUUGUUGCUUUUUUCAAAUACUUUAUUGUACAAAGCUGUUCUUAAUAUUGUUCAAGUUUUUUUUCUUUGAAUUUUGCUAAUGUUUUCCUUGAAUUAUGAGCACUGACAGAAUGUGCUUAGCACUUUUGGCUAUUCACACAGCUUUUGAGCAUGAUUUGCAUCCAAUAUUUACAUUGCUAGCAAUAAUAAGCCAUCUGUGAGUUUUGUCAAAAGUUAUUGGGGAUUUUUUAAAUUUUAGAAGUGCAAAUUAUUGUUUCUUAACUCUUAUGCAGUUGCAAAGGCAUUUCCAGUUGUUAUAGUUUAUGUAUAAUAUCAGGUGUUCCAGAUUAUGAUUCAUUAUUAAUAUCAUUGCUUCCUUGUUCCCUGAGGUCCAGAAGAUUCAUGUUUACAAUAUUUAGAAACAAUGUUAAAAAGGUAUCCAAA
Molecule: long non-coding RNA, 2752 nt
Organism: Pan troglodytes (chimpanzee)
Lineage: Eukaryota; Metazoa; Chordata; Mammalia; Primates; Hominidae
Exons: 5
Source: RefSeq, a predicted model, not a curated record